AUGCCCACUUGCACAUCACAGAUACUAAAACUGGACAAUCCAGAGAAUAUUAGCAUGGCUUCUGCACAAGGAUGACAGGCAAACUCAUGAAGGAUUCCAUGUUUUU
Peromyscus maniculatus bairdii (prairie deer mouse) is the source of this 106-nucleotide small nuclear RNA. The record is from RefSeq and is a predicted model, not a curated record. Lineage: Eukaryota; Metazoa; Chordata; Mammalia; Rodentia; Cricetidae.